Molecule: non-coding RNA, 31 nt
Filed under: Homo sapiens (human)
Lineage: Eukaryota; Metazoa; Chordata; Mammalia; Primates; Hominidae
Source: RNAcentral
ACCCCCAUCAGGGUGCGGGGUGCAGUUGCGG